GGCACAUCCUAGUACAUCCUUGGUGACAGAGUGCAUUUUCAUCAGAGCAACUAAAAAGCCCUGUGAGAAUCAGCUCAGAAGAAGGAAUGUACAGAGGGUCACGAUAAGUAGCACAUCUCAUCAGACCUGAUGCCCGGGGAUGUUAAAGUGCUUUUUAAAAUGAGGACUAAUAAGGCUACUCAGCUUUUACUGUUUUCUAAGAGCCUCAACUAAAUUAAUCAUGGCACAGAAUAACCCUUCCUGUAAGGUGAUUACACAUCCUUUGGUUGUGGGGAAGCCUGGGCUAUCACAGAGAGAAGAAGCUGAGUGAAUUAUUUAAAAAGUAUGCAGCAAAGGCCUGUGAAUCGUCGGGGAGGUGGGAUGGCGUCUCUCCCUCAUUCGGGGGCCUCUCCGAGGAAUAGCAGAAGGGACCCCAGAAGGCUUGUUGGACACCAGUUUAAUUCGGAAAAUAGAGCAGCACUUCACCUCGCGUGUGCUGGGUGGGGAAUUGUAAAAGAGGACACAGUCAAAAUAGUCAUUAAGGCCAAACCAGAGUCAGCCCAAAGCCAGGCCUGCAUUCCCAGGAACCUGCUGGGCCGUGGUAUUUGCAUACAUCAGUCUCCAGCCUCCAUUGUCUCCCACAGGAAGAACUUGUUCCAUUCCAUUAAGAACGCCUGAAUAUUUUAUUGGCUAAAAACUAGGGGCCUAGGCUGGAUGGUAAACAAGUUUGGAGUGCUGUUUUUGAGUUGUGUUUAUGUUUUAUACAUGGAACAGUUUUAAGUAUUUUUUUGUUAAAUUCAAAACACUCCAGAAAUUCUGCAACUUAAGGCGACAACCACUGCAAAAGUUCCAGGGCAACAUUUGGACACUUUCAAGAUUACUUCAGGGACUUGAAUGCUGAGAAACAAGAAGGGACAACUUUUAUUAAGAAAAACAUUUUAGUAGCUGAAUACAGAAAUCAAAACCAAGAGUAGGCGUUCCAAAUUCAUAUUGUGAAGCGCCUACAAAAAGAUUCUUCUGUCAGCUUUCACAGUGUGGAGAGUUCAUCUUUUCAUCUCAUCAAGUGAAAAUAUGCCCCAAUUCCCGACCGGAAUGUGGACUCUGCUUUCAGCAAUGAGCAUCAGACAUGACAAGCCCUGAUUUUGUUCAGUUAUCAGCCCUUCACCUGUCAAGCCAGUGCCUCAGGAAGCUUGAUCCCACCUCCAGCCCAGUAAGUGGACCUGAUUGGUCAAAGGCAUGGCCUAUCCGUCUGGCCAGGGAUCGGUUCAGGAAUAGACUUGAGACCAGAUUCAGGAAUGAAUAUGAGGGACAUUCUUCUUCUUCCUGCAUGUGAUCCCUUGAACUGCUGCUACCACCUUGCCACCUGCCUAAGGAGGAAGGUCAAUGCUGAGGAAUCGGAGCAAAGAGAUAGGAAGAACAUGAGUCUAUGGCAUUGUUGUGCUUUGCUGUCUCUGGACUUCUUUUACGGAAGAAUUCAUCAUCUCAACUGCCCCGAGUCUACGAGAUAUGUCCACAGACGAGCUGACUGCCUACACCAUAGUCCACACCGUCGGUAGCGUUAGCUCCACUGAGACAGAUGUGUUUCCAAAACGCACAGAGGGAUUUGCUGGCCUGAGCAUAGCAAGAGUGUGAUAACUGAAAAAAAAAAAAAAAACAUAAAGUGGGAUCAUGCCCACCCAUCCCUCUGGUUAGACUGCGUGUUUUGUGCAGAAAACUAUGUUUGGGUAGCUCCUCCUCGGGGUAAAGAAAGAAAGAGCUCUGCGCCUGAAGAAACCCCGGACCUGGUAUGCUGGGAGGAAGGUCUGCUCUUCCAGGGUGAAGCCAUUCAUGACAGACCCAGGGAUGUGCGUACUUUGUUUAGCAAGGUGCUCAAGGUUUGGCACCUGUCAGUAGUUUCUAUGGCUCAGCAUUCUUGAAUCGAC
Long non-coding RNA from Bos taurus (domestic cattle), 1901 nucleotides. The record is from Ensembl. NCBI's taxonomy places the organism in Eukaryota, Metazoa, Chordata, Mammalia, Artiodactyla, Bovidae.